RNAcentral lists this ribosomal RNA (253 nucleotides) under uncultured bacterium. RNAcentral's name for it is "partial 16S ribosomal RNA". It matches the Rfam family "Bacterial small subunit ribosomal RNA", at positions 524 to 776 of the family's 1533-position model. The record is from RNAcentral.
UACGUAGGGGGCAAGCGUUGUCCGGAUUUAUUGGGCGUAAAGAGCGUGUAGGCGGCCAAGUAAGUCUGCUGUGAAAAUUCGAGGCUUAACCUCGAGCUGUCGGCGGAAACUAUUUGGCUAGAGUCCGGAAGAGGAGAAUGGAAUUCCCGGUGUAGCGGUGAAAUGCGCAGAUAUCGGGAAGAACACCCGUGGCGAAGGCGGUUCUCUGGGACGGUACUGACGCUGAGACGCGAAAGCGUGGGGAGCGAACAGG